Molecule: ribosomal RNA, 278 nt
Filed under: uncultured prokaryote
Description: partial 16S ribosomal RNA
Rfam family: Bacterial small subunit ribosomal RNA
Source: RNAcentral
UACGGAGGGAGCUAGCGUUGUUCGGAAUUACUGGGCGUAAAGCGCACGUAGGCGGCGAAGCAAGUCAGGGGUGAAAUCCCGGGGCUCAACCCCGGAACUGCCCUUGAAACUGCUUUGCUAGAAUCUUGGAGAGGCGAGUGGAAUUCCGAGUGUAGAGGUGAAAUUCGUAGAUAUUCGGAAGAACACCAGUGGCGAAGGCGACUCGCUGGACAAGUAUUGACGCUGAGGUGCGAAAGCGCGGGGAGCAAACAGGAUUAGAUACCCCCGUAGUCCCUGAG